GGGUUGUGAGGUUAAGCGACUAAGCGUACACGGUGGAUGCCCUGGCAGUCAGAGGCGAUGAAGGACGUGCUAAUCUGCGAAAAGCGUCGGUAAGGUGAUAUGAACCGUUACAGCCGGCGAUGUCCGAAUGGGGAAACCCAGUGCAAUUCGUUGCACUAUCGUUAACUGAAUACAUAGGUUAACGAGGCGAACCGGGGGAACUGAAACAUCUAAGUACCCCGAGGAAAAGAAAUCAACCGAGAUUCCCCAGUAGCGGCGAGCGAACGGGGAGCAGCCCAGAGUCUGAAUCAGCUUGUGUGUUAGUGGAACGGUCUGGAAAGUCCGACGGUACAGGGUGAUAGUCCCGUACACCAAAAUGCACAGGUUGUGAACUCGAAGAGUAGGGCGGGACACGUGGUAUCCUGUCUGAAUAUGGGGACCAUCCUCCAAGGCUAAAUACUCCUGACUGACCGAUAGUGAACCAGUACCGUGAGGGAAAGGCGAAAAGAACCCCGGCGAGGGGAGUGAAAAAGAACCUGAAACCGUGUACGUACAAGCAGUGGGAGCACCUUCGGGUGUGACUGCGUACCUUUUGUAUAAUGGGUCAGCGACUUAUAUUCUGUAGCAAGGUUAACCGUAUAGGGGAGCCGCAGGGAAACCGAGUCUUAACUGGGCGUUAAGUUGCAGGGUAUAGACCCGAAACCCGGUGAUCAGCCAUGGGCAGGUUGAAGGUUGGGUAACACUAACUGGAGGACCGAACCGACUAAUGUUGAAAAAUUAGCGGAUGACUUGUGGCUGGGGUGAAAGGCCAAUCAAACCGGGAGAUAGCUGGUUCUCCCGAAAGCUAUUUAGGUAGCGCCUCGUGAACUCAUCUUCGGGGUAGAGCACUGUUUCGGCUAGGGGGUCAUCCCGACUUACCAACCCGAUGCAAACUACGAAUACCGAAGAAUGUUAUCACGGGAGACACACGGCGGGUGCUAACGUCCGUCGUGAAGAGGGAAACAACCCAGACCGCCAGCUAAGGUCCCAAAGUCAUGGUUAAGUGGGAAACGAUGUGGGAAGGCACAGACAGCCGUGAUGUUGGCUUAGAAGCAGCCAUCAUUUAAAGAAAGCGUAAUAGCUCACUGGUCGAGUCGGCCUGCGCGGAAGAUGUAACGGGGCUAAACCAUGCACCGAAGCUGCGGCAGCGACACUAUGUGUUGUUGGGUAGGGGAGCGUUCUGUAAGCCUGCGAAGGUGUGCUGUGAGGCAUGCUGGAGGUAUCAGAAGUGCGAAUGCUGACAUAAGUAACGAUAAAGCGGGUGAAAAGCCCGCUCGCCGGAAGACCAAGGGUUCCUGUCCAACGUUAAUCGGGGCAGGGUGAGUCGACCCUAAGGCGAGGCCGAAAGGCGUAGUCGAUGGGAAACAGGUUAAUAUUCCUGUACUUGGUGUUACUGCGAAGGGGACGGAGAAGGCUAUGUUAGCCGGGCGACGGUUGUCCCGGUUUAAGCAUGUAGGCUGGUUAUCCAGGCAAAUCCGGAUAAUCAAGGCUGAGGUGUGAUGACGAGGCACUACGGUGCUGAAGUAACAAAUGCCCUGCUUCCAGGAAAAGCCUCUAAGCAUCAGGUAACAUCAAAUCGUACCCCAAACCGACACAGGUGGUCAGGUAGAGAAUACCAAGGCGCUUGAGAGAACUCGGGUGAAGGAACUAGGCAAAAUGGUGCCGUAACUUCGGGAGAAGGCACGCUGGUGUGUAGGUGAAGUCCCUGCGGAUGGAGCUGAGACCAGUCGAAGAUACCAGCUGGCUGCAACUGUUUAUUAAAAACACAGCACUGUGCAAACACGAAAGUGGACGUAUACGGUGUGACGCCUGCCCGGUGCCGGAAGGUUAAUUGAUGGGGUUAUCCGUAAGGAGAAGCUCUUGAUCGAAGCCCCGGUAAACGGCGGCCGUAACUAUAACGGUCCUAAGGUAGCGAAAUUCCUUGUCGGGUAAGUUCCGACCUGCACGAAUGGCGUAAUGAUGGCCAGGCUGUCUCCACCCGAGACUCAGUGAAAUUGAACUCGCUGUGAAGAUGCAGUGUACCCGCGGCAAGACGGAAAGACCCCGUGAACCUUUACUAUAGCUUGACACUGAACAUUGAGCCUUGAUGUGUAGGAUAGGUGGGAGGCUUUGAAGCGUGGACGCCAGUCUGCGUGGAGCCAACCUUGAAAUACCACCCUUUAAUGUUUGAUGUUCUAACGUUGGCCCCUGACCGGGGUUGCGGACAGUGUCUGGUGGGUAGUUUGACUGGGGCGGUCUCCUCCCAAAGCGUAACGGAGGAGCACGAAGGUUAGCUAAUCUGGUCGGACAUCAGGAGGUUAGUGCAAUGGCAUAAGCUAGCUUGACUGCGAGCGUGACGGCGCGAGCAGGUGCGAAAGCAGGUCAUAGUGAUCCGGUGGUUCUGAAUGGAAGGGCCAUCGCUCAACGGAUAAAAGGUACUCCGGGGAUAACAGGCUGAUACCGCCCAAGAGUUCAUAUCGACGGCGGUGUUUGGCACCUCGAUGUCGGCUCAUCACAUCCCGGGCUGAAGUAGGUCCCAAGGGUAUGGCUGUUCGCCAUUUAAAGUGGUACGCGAGCUGGGUUUAGAACGUCGUGAGACAGUUCGGUCCCUAUCUGCCGUGGGCGCUGGAGAAUUGAGGGGGGCUGCUCCUAGUACGAGAGGACCGGAGUGGACGCAUCACUGGUGUUCGGGUUGUCAUGCCAAUGGCACUGCCCGGUAGCUAAAUGCGGAAGAGAUAAGUGCUGAAAGCAUCUAAGCACGAAACUUGCCCCGAGAUGAGUUCUCCUGAGACUAUAAGUCUCCUGAAGGAACGUUAAAGACGAUGACGUUGAUAGGCCGGGUGUGUAAGCGCAGCGAUGCGUUGAGCUAACCGGUACUAAUGAACCGUGAGGCUUAACCUUACAACGCCGAAG
Molecule: ribosomal RNA, 2910 nt
Filed under: Klebsiella pneumoniae
Lineage: Bacteria; Pseudomonadati; Pseudomonadota; Gammaproteobacteria; Enterobacterales; Enterobacteriaceae
Description: 23S ribosomal RNA
Rfam family: Bacterial large subunit ribosomal RNA
Source: RNAcentral